RNAcentral lists this ribosomal RNA (278 nucleotides) under uncultured Eubacterium sp. RNAcentral describes it as "partial 16S ribosomal RNA". It matches the Rfam family "Bacterial small subunit ribosomal RNA", at positions 511 to 788 of the family's 1533-position model. The record is from RNAcentral. Lineage: Bacteria; Bacillati; Bacillota; Clostridia; Eubacteriales; Eubacteriaceae.
GCAGCCGCGGUAAUACGUAGGUGGCAAGCGUUGUCCGGAUUUACUGGGUGUAAAGGGUGCGCAGGCGGGACUGCAAGUUGGAUGUGAAAUACCGGAGCUCAACUCCGGAACUGCAUCCAAAACUGUAGUUCUUGAGUGGAGUAGAGGUAAGCGGAAUUCCGAGUGUAGCGGUGAAAUGCGUAGAUAUUCGGAGGAACACCAGUGGCGAAGGCGGCUUACUGGGCUCUAACUGACGCUGAGGCACGAAAGUGUGGGUAGCAAACAGGAUUAGAUACCCC